Long non-coding RNA from Neoarius graeffei (lesser salmon catfish), 277 nucleotides. RefSeq lists it as uncharacterized. Lineage: Eukaryota; Metazoa; Chordata; Actinopteri; Siluriformes; Ariidae. The transcript is spliced from 3 exons. The record is from RefSeq and is a predicted model, not a curated record.
GAGAACCCAUCAGUGUCAACGUCCACGUCACCAACAACUCCACCAAAACUGUCAAAUGAAUCAAAAUCUCAGUGCGACAGUAUGCUGAUAUCUGUUUGUUCAGCACUGCACAGUACAAAUGCCCCGUGGCUCAGGUAGAAGCCGAUGAUCAGGUGUCAUCCAGCUCCACGUUCUGUAAGGUGUACACGCUCACCCCGACACUGAACAACAACCGAGAGAAGAGAGGUCUAGCACUGGACGGCAAACUCAAACACGAGGACACCAACCUGGCCUCCAG